CGGGGUGAGUAAUGUCUGGGAAACUGCCUGAUGGAGGGGGAUAGCUACUGGAAACGGUAGCUAAUACCGCAUAACGUCGCAAGACCAAAGAGGGGGACCUUAGGGCCUCUUGCCAUCGGAUGUGCCCAGAUGGGAUUAGCUAGUAGGUGGGGUAACGGCUCACCUAGGCGACGAUCCCUAGCUGGUCUGAGAGGAUGACCAGCCACACUGGAACUGAGACACGGUCCAG
Molecule: ribosomal RNA, 229 nt
Filed under: uncultured bacterium
Lineage: Bacteria
Description: partial 16S ribosomal RNA
Rfam family: Bacterial small subunit ribosomal RNA
Source: RNAcentral